This 608-nucleotide ribosomal RNA is filed under the name Vesiculariidae gen. n. sp. n. AW-2011. RNAcentral describes it as "partial 12S ribosomal RNA". Lineage: Eukaryota; Metazoa; Bryozoa; Gymnolaemata; Ctenostomatida; Vesiculariidae. The record is from RNAcentral.
UGCCAGCANHMGCGGUUACACGAUUACCUAUAGUUCAGUCAAUAGGUAUUAUGGUAAAGUUGAAAAAAAGGGAAAAACAAAUCAUACUACUAGUUAAAUGGAAAAACAAUGAUAGAAACCGAAUAACCCUAAAACCUAAACCCAUGAAAUUUUAUAAAUAGAACCAGGAUUAGAUACCCUGCUACUAAUAACCGUAAAACAAAAAUACCAGGGUAUUACGAAUUGAACGUUUAAAACCUAAAGAGCUUGGCGGCCUUUCUAUUCAAUCAGGGGAGCCUGUCCUAUAAACGAUAAUCCACGUCAAACCUCACCUCUCCUAGAAAAUCAGCAUGUAUACCUCCGUCGACAGUUACCCUUAAUAAAAGAAAAAAAGUUAACAACAAGCGACUAAUAAAUCGCAACAAGUCAGGUCAAGGUGCAGCUAAUGGGGAGGAAGAGAUGGGCUACUUUAACAAAUAAUUAAAUGAAUCACUCAACCUACAGGRGAGUGUGAAAUAGUACUUGAAAGUAAGACUAGAUUAGAAAGCUAGUCUGAAUAAUACAAAGAAGGCGCACAAAUCGCCCGUCAAUCCCGCAUAACAUAAAAUGGGAWAAGUCGUAACAHAGUA